GAUGAAGAACGCAGCGAAAUGCGAUAAGUAGUGUGAAUUGCAGAAUUCAGUGAAUCAUCGAAUCUUUGAACGCACAUUGCGCCCGCCGGUAUUCCGGCGGGCAUGCCUGUUCGAGCGUCAUUUCAACCAUCAAGCCCUGGGCUUGUGUUGGGGACCUGCGGCUGCCGCAGGCCCUGAAAUGCAGUGGCGGGCUCGCAAGACACACCGAGCGUAGUAGCUUACAACCUCGCUUUGGGAGUGCUGCGGGUGCUGGCCGUAAAGCGACCUUUGCGUCUUUAGCACUAGGUUGACCUCGGAUCAGGUAGGAGGACCCGCUGAACUUAAGCAUAUCAAUAAGCGGAGGA
Molecule: unclassified non-coding RNA, 344 nt
Filed under: soil metagenome
Description: partial contains 5.8S ribosomal RNA, internal transcribed spacer 2, and large subunit ribosomal RNA
Rfam family: 5.8S ribosomal RNA (bases 1-120)
Source: RNAcentral